This 201-nucleotide ribosomal RNA is filed under the name Triticum aestivum (bread wheat). RNAcentral's name for it is "partial small subunit ribosomal RNA". Lineage: Eukaryota; Viridiplantae; Streptophyta; Magnoliopsida; Poales; Poaceae. The record is from RNAcentral.
AUGGUGAGCUGGCCCGACAUUUGCAAACCUAAAGACCAGGGUGGCCUUGGGAUCUUGUCAUCUCGUCGCAUGAACAUUGCUCUCCUGACCCGCUGGCUGUGGCGUAUCGCCAAUGGGGAGGGAGGCCUCUGUCUUACCAUCAUCCGUAAUAAAUACCUUCGGGGCCAACCUCUGGCCUUUUGCCAGCGUACGGGUGGAUCC